Molecule: ribosomal RNA, 264 nt
Filed under: uncultured bacterium
Lineage: Bacteria
Description: partial 16S ribosomal RNA
Rfam family: Bacterial small subunit ribosomal RNA
Source: RNAcentral
UCUCUUCGGAGAUACACGAGUGGCGAACGGGUGCGUAACGCGUAUGCAACUACCUUUAACAGAGAGAUAGCCCUGAGAAAUUGGGAUUAAUAUCACAUAAUAUCGUAAUGCAGCAUUGUAUAAUGAUUAAAGCUCCGGCGGUUAAAGAUGGGCAUGCGUGACAUUAGUUAGUUGGUGAGGUAACGGCUCACCAAGACUUCGAUGUCUAGGGGUUCUGAGAGGAUUAUCCCCCCACACUGGUACUGAGACACGGACCCAGACUCC